RNAcentral lists this non-coding RNA (27 nucleotides) under Homo sapiens (human). The record is from RNAcentral. Lineage: Eukaryota; Metazoa; Chordata; Mammalia; Primates; Hominidae.
UAACAGGAGAGCAGCAAUACGAUUUUG